CGAACGUUGGCGGCGUGCUUAACACAUGCACGUCGAACGGAAAGGCCCCUUUGGGGGUACUCGAGUGGCGAACGGGUGAGUAACACGUGAGUAACCUGCCCUUGACUUCGGGAUAACUUCAGGAAACUGGGGCUAAUACCGGAUAGGAAUCCUUGCUGCAUGGUGGGGGUUGGAAAGCUUCGGCGGUUUUGGAUGGACUCGCGGCUUAUCAGCUUGUUGGUGGGGUAGUGGCUUACCAAGGCUUUGACGGGUAGCCGGCCUGAGAGGGCGACCGGCCACAUUGGGACUGAGAUACGGCCCAGACUCCUACGGGAGGCAGCAGUGGGGAAUAUUGCACAAUGGGCGGAAGCCUGAUGCAGCAACGCCGCGUGCGGGAUGACGGCCUUCGGGUUGUAAACCGCUUUCAGCAGGGGCGAAGCUUGUGGUGACGGUACCUGCAGAAGAAGCACCGGCUAACUACGUG
Molecule: ribosomal RNA, 463 nt
Filed under: uncultured bacterium
Lineage: Bacteria
Description: partial 16S ribosomal RNA
Rfam family: Bacterial small subunit ribosomal RNA
Source: RNAcentral